Molecule: ribosomal RNA, 826 nt
Filed under: uncultured bacterium
Lineage: Bacteria
Description: bacterial SSU rRNA
Rfam family: Bacterial small subunit ribosomal RNA
Source: RNAcentral
GAGGGGUAGAACACUUCGGUGUUUGAGACCGGCGCACGGGUGCGUAACGCGUAUGCAAUCUACCUUUUACAGGGGAAUAGCCCAGAGAAAUUUGGAUUAAUGCCCCAUGGUAUAAUUGAAUGGCAUCAUUUGAUUAUUAAAGUUCCAACGGUAAAAGAUGAGCAUGCGUCCCAUUAGUUAGUUGGUAAGGUAACGGCUUACCAAGACGAUGAUGGGUAGGGGUCCUGAGAGGGAGAUCCCCCACACUGGUACUGAGACACGGACCAGACUCCUACGGGAGGCAGCAGUGAGGAAUAUUGGACAAUGGGCGCGAGCCUGAUCCAGCCAUGCCGCGUGCAGGAAGAAGCAUCUAUGGUGUGUAAACUGCUUUUGUACGGGAAGAAACACUCCCUCGUGAGGGAGCUUGACGGUACCGUAAGAAUAAGGAUCGGCUAACUCCGUGCCAGCAGCCGCGGUAAUACGGAGGAUCCAAGCGUUAUCCGGAAUCAUUGGGUUUAAAGGGUCCGUAGGCGGUUUAAUAAGUCAGUGGUGAAAUCUGGUCGCUCAACGAUCAAACGGCCAUUGAUACUGUUAGACUUGAAUUACAAGGAAGUAACUAGAAUAUGUAGUGUAGCGGUGAAAUGCUUAGAUAUUACAUGGAAUACCAAUUGCGAAGGCAGGUUACUACUUGUGGAUUGACGCUGAUGGACGAAAGCGUGGGGAGCGAACAGGAUUAGAUACCCUGGUAGUCCACGCCGUAAACGAUGGAUACUAGCUGUUGGGGGCAACUUCAGUGGCUAAGCGAAAGUGAUAAGUAUCCCACCUGGGGAGUACGUUCGCAAGAAUG